Molecule: non-coding RNA, 136 nt
Filed under: Alexandrium catenella
Lineage: Eukaryota; Dinophyceae; Gonyaulacales; Pyrocystaceae
Source: RNAcentral
GGGCAUGAUGGUCGUCUUGGCCGGCGGCGCCAUCCCGAAGGGGGAGGAGCUCACUGUGGCCUAUUUGGACGACGCGGCCGCUGUGGAGAAGAAGUGGGGCAUCAAGGCCUGAGGCUCACAGAGGAGUGCUCAGCUC